AGAUGUUGAACGUGGAGUUGUUUUGUUCACAAUGGAAAACUCCCUCAGGUCUUUAUAAGGGAUUUCAGAGCUGCUGUUCAACAUGACAAUUCAGAUCAGGAAAAGAAAACUCCGGAGCUCUACCCCUCACCUCUGUCUGGACUCCCGAUUGGCCACACAAAAGAAAAUACAUUUUGACAUAUGAAAGAAGACUGAUGCAUCCGACUACUGGACCAUCAUCCUGCAGAUUCCCUCCAAAACACUAAAGGACUAAAUAGAGUACCACAGAAGUGAUGUUCAAACAGUAAACAAAGCUGAGAUUUGACUGGCAUAAAAACUUCAUGAAAAUCUAACGAUAUCAUAUCAAAUAUUUCAUCAUUAAAAGCUGAAAUCUGCAGCUGCAGCUCUGCCAUAGUUACCAGAACACCAUGGCGACCAAUGACCAAGCAGGGAGCAGGGAGAUUGAUUAUCCAGAGAGUAUCACCAAAAACAAGGCCAAGAAAAAAUACAAAAAAAAAAUCCUGAGAAACAAUCCUGAUAUUCUAUAUGCUGACUACAGUGAUCAUGAAGGGAUUAGAAUAAAGAGUAACUUAAUUUUCUACACCACGCUGAUUACUGAAUGGAAAUCAGUCAUUGAUAAUGAAUACCAGCAUGUUGUUAGAACAGAAAUUGAUCAUGGAGAAAGAUUUUUCAUAUUUCGAGAUGAAGUGCAUGACACAAAUAAUCGUAUUCUCACAAUAUCCUUUUACACUACUGACACUGUGCUUGUGCAAAACAGUGAGGAAAAUCUGAAUUCAUUUGAGAAAACCUUUGCUCAGCUGAAAGUCAGAGUGCAGACAGAGAGAGAACAGGCCCAAAUGAACAAACCAAAUAAUAAUCCAACUUCACCUCCACCUCCACCGUCUAACCAUCAGCUUAGAGAUGGAGAAGAAAGAGCUGAAGAAAGAGACCAGCCACAAGCUGCUGCUGAAGAUACUAGCUCCUCCAUCAUUGAUCAUUUCAAUAAUCUGUCUGUUGGUGGAGGAUUCCAAAAGAGUUUCACUGUAGAACACCCUGGUCACUUCUGUAUGGAGAAGAAGAGCGAAAUCCAACAGAUAGAGGUAUGGACAGGAGCAUUUGAAUCCAAGUCCAAGCAAAAUCACGAGAGGCAAGUAGAAAAGUACAUUACUCUUGAGUACUUAAACAGAACAAUCAAGCAGUUUCCAUACAAGUUCAUGGACCAAACUGAUCAGCCUCAAAUUAUUCCAGCUGCAUUUGCCUCUUGAGGCACAAUUGGUGAUGAUGGGCAUGAAAAUUGGGCACUUCUAAGACUUCUUCCACUCAUGAUUGGUUUUGAUAUACCAGAGAAUGAUCUGUCAUGGGAGAUUUUAAUGCUUUUGAAAGACAUUCUGGAACUGGUGACGUCCUUCAGAUUCACUGAGGAAACUAUUGAUUUCCUUGGGGAUAAAAUUUCAGAGCACAGAGAUCUGCUUUUAACAGUAUUUCCUCAUUUUGCAUUGCGUCCCAAACACCAUUACAUUGAACAUUAACCACAGCUAAUAUGGGUGUAUGGGCCUUUAGGAGAUGUCUGGACAAUGCGUUUUGAAGGCAAGCACAAGUUCUUCAAACAAAUCAUUCAUGAUACAAAAAAUUUCAAAAAUGUCUCUCAAGCUCUGGCAGUCCGACAUCAAAGAAUGAUUGCAUACCACAUUGGAUUCAUUGUCUUUAUUCAAACCUUCUGUGCAGAUGGAAAAAGUUGCAGUGACACUGAUUUCAUCUUUUCCCCCAUAAUGCCUGCUGAUGAAUAUGAAUGAAGCAUGGAAUCAAAACAAUUAGAGCUGGAAGAAAUGAAGAAGCGUCAUCCAAGUUUACCCUGAUAUCACAGUACAUGGACAUAAAUUUUUCACUAAGGAGAAAAGAGUUGGUUGAAAAUGAGCCUUCGGUAAAAGAUACUCUACAAAGGUGGCCAGCAUUCUUUUUGGAAAGUCAGGUAAUUAACACACAUCUGUUGUUUCUUCUGUUCCUUUCCUUUCAUAGAUUAUUGCUGAGUUCAACCACAUUAAACCAAAAACCUCAUGCAAGAAUUCCCCUUGAUAAACACACUUCCUGUUUUCUAGAAAUUUUUGAAUCCAAGAAAGGCACAGCUGGAAAAAAGUUUCUACUAAAAAUUAAGUCUGCAGUAAGUUGCUUUUUAAACAGUACUGUGAGUCCAUUUGUCAACUUUUAAGGAAAACAAAACUAGAGUUAUUUGGUAUUGCUUGGCGGGAAAGUAACCUAUCCUACAGAAAAGCAUU
This is a long non-coding RNA of Cyprinus carpio (common carp), 2252 nucleotides long. RefSeq lists it as uncharacterized. The transcript is spliced from 5 exons. The record is from RefSeq and is a predicted model, not a curated record. Lineage: Eukaryota; Metazoa; Chordata; Actinopteri; Cypriniformes; Cyprinidae.